UGGGGAAUAUUGGACAAUGGGCGAAAGCCUGAUCCAGCCAUGCCGCGUGUGUGAAGAAGGUCUUCGGAUUGUAAAGCACUUUAAGUUGGAAGGAGGGGCAGUAAGCGAAUACCUUGCUGUUUUGCCGUUACCGACAGAAUAAGCACCGGCUAACUCUGUCCCCGCAGCCGCGGUAAUACAGAGGGUGCAAGCGUUAAUCGGAAUUACUGGGCGUAAAGCGCGCGUAGGUGGUUCGUUAAGUUGAAUGUGAAAGCCCCGGGCUCAACCUGGGAACUGCAUCCAAAACGGGCGAGCUAGAGUAGGGCAGAGGGUGGUGGAAUUUCCUGUGUAGCGGAGAAAUGCGUAGAUAUAGGAAGGAACACCAGUGGCGAAGGCGACCACCUGGGCUCAUACUGACACUGAGGUGCGAAAGCGUAGGGAGCAAACAGG
RNAcentral lists this ribosomal RNA (429 nucleotides) under Pseudomonadota bacterium. RNAcentral's name for it is "Proteobacteria bacterium partial 16S ribosomal RNA". It matches the Rfam family "Bacterial small subunit ribosomal RNA", at positions 355 to 776 of the family's 1533-position model. The record is from RNAcentral. Lineage: Bacteria; Pseudomonadati; Pseudomonadota.